RNAcentral lists this ribosomal RNA (2230 nucleotides) under Giardia duodenalis. Its description in RNAcentral is "LSU rRNA". It matches the Rfam family "Eukaryotic large subunit ribosomal RNA", at positions 23 to 2622 of the family's 3401-position model. The record is from RNAcentral. Lineage: Eukaryota; Fornicata; Diplomonadida; Hexamitidae.
AACGCCCCGCCGGCGGAUGCCUCGGCCCGGGCGGCGACGAAGAGCGCGGCGGAGCGCGAGACGCGGUGCGGACCCGCCCGCCCCGAGAAGCACCGGCCCUCGAACGCAGCGCGCCCCGGCGCCGCCGCCUCGGUGCCCUGCCGCGUGCCGCGCGCCGCGCCGCAGAGAGCGCCCCGGGGCGGUCCCGCCGGGCUGCGCGGCCCGAGGCGGCGGGGGCGACGGGCGGAACUUAAGCAUAUCAGUACGCCCCGGAGGAGAAACCAACCGGGAUUCCCCGUAGCGGCGAGCGACGCGGGAGGAGCCCGCCCCGAAGGCGCGCUGUGGGGCGCAGGCGCAGGCCCGCCGCGAGGGGGCCCGAGGGCCCCGCCCGAGAGGGUGCAAGCCCCGUACGGCGGCCGCCGGGCCUGCGCGGCGAGUAGCGCUGCUUGAGCGUGCAGCGCGAAGGGAGGCGCGGCCCUUCCAAGGCUAAAUACGCCCCGGGACCGAUAGCGGACCAAGUAGCGCGAGCGAACGGUGAAAAGGACGCCCUGCGGCCGCUCAAAAGACCUGAACCCGGCCGGCCGCCGGCCCGCCGGCCCCGUCUCGAAACACGGACCGAGGAGCCACGCGCCGCGGCGAGCCCGAGGGAGCCCCCGCGGCGGAGCGAGCGCGAGACGCCCCGGGCCCGCCAUGCCCCUGCGGGCGUGCGCGGGCCGAGCCGCGGCGCGUGGGCCCGAAAGGCGGUGAUCUAUGCCCGGCGAGGGCGAGGCCGGGCGAAAGCCUGGUGGAGGCCCGCCGCGGUGCUGACGCGCAGAUCGCUCGUCGGAGCCGGGCAUGGGGGCGAAAGACUCAUCGAACCGCCUGGUAGCUGGUUGCCUCCGAAAUGUCUCCCAGGACAGCCGCCGCCCCGCAGUUGCGGCCCGUAGAGCGCUGGCCGGCGGGAGCGGGGGGCCUGCCCCUCGCCCGCCCCCCAAACUCCGAAGGGCCGCGCCGCCCCGCCGCUGGCCUGGGCGGGGCGGGCGAAUGCGGGCGGCGCGUGGGCCCCUCCUGGUAAGCAGGACGGGCGAGGCGGGACGAUCCGGACGCCGGGCCAGGGUGCGCCGCCGGGGCCCGCGGAACGGCGUCGGCCGGUCCCGACAGCUGGAAGGUGGCCCCAGAAGUCGGCAUCCUCCAGGGAGUGUGUAACAACCCACCAGCCGAAUCGGCCGGCCCGGAAAAUGGAGCGCGCCGGAGCCCCGGACCCGCGCCCGGCCGCCGCGCGCGGCGGGUAGGAGGCCGCAGAGGCCCCGGGGGCGAAGGCGGCGCGCAGGCCCCGCCGGACCGGCCUCUGGUGCAGAUCUCGGCAGCAGUAGCCGCUACUCCGCGCCCCGGAGGACUGAGGGGGAGACGGGUUCCGCGGCGCCUGCAUCUGGCCGCGGGUGACUCGGGCCUAAGCGGCGGGUGAAGACCGGGAAGGGGCGUGCCCGCCCGUCGAACGGGGAGCCGGCGGAGACUCCGGCAGGCGCGGCCCCCGCGGAGACGCCCGCCCCCCGGCGACGCGCACGGGGACCGCGGCGGGCGGCGCCCCGGCCCGCGAACGCCCCGCUGCCCCCGGACGCCUUGCGCGGAGAGGGGGGCCCGGGGGCGGACCCCGCGCGUCCCCGGCCGCCCCUGAAAAGCCGGGGGGCACCGGCCGCGCGCCGUACCGACCGCAGCAGGACUCCGGGGUCAGCAGCCUCUAGCGCGGGAGCGAACGCGGCUCAGGGAAGUCGGCAAGCCGGCUCCGUAACCUCGGGAAAAGGAGUGGCUCUGACGGCGCGCCGGGUCAGAACUGGAACGGACGCGGGGAUCCCGACUGUUUACUAGAAACACAGCGUCGCGAGGGCCGCACCCGGCGCUGGCGCGACGUGAUUUCUGCCCAGUGCCACGACCGUCACCGUGAAGCGAUCCGCCGAAGCCCUGGUAAACGGCGGGAGUAACUAUGACUCUCUUAAGGUAGCCAAAUGCCUCGUCGGGCAAUUUCCGACGUGCAUGAAUGGACCAACGAGGAUCCCACUGUCCCGAGCCGCGCCUCCGCGAGCCUCCAGCCUCGGGAACGGGCGAGGGCCGGCCAGCGGGGCAAGAAGACCCUUUUGAGCUUGACUCCAGCCCGGGCCUGUGGGGCGGGGCGGCCGGCGCAGCGCACAGGGGAGGCCGCGCCCCUGAGACACCCUGACGGCCGCCGCCGCCCCGCUCACCCGGUCGCGCGGGGACCCGCCCGGGCGGGGAGUUC